This 576-nucleotide ribosomal RNA is filed under the name Triticum aestivum (bread wheat). RNAcentral describes it as "partial small subunit ribosomal RNA". Lineage: Eukaryota; Viridiplantae; Streptophyta; Magnoliopsida; Poales; Poaceae. The record is from RNAcentral.
AUGAAGCGGAAGUUCAUUAUGAUGCCAGUUAUCAUCCAAGGCCCUAAGCAACUCGGCAACGACAUUGAUGUGUACCUAAGGCCAUUAGUUGAAGAACUUUUACAGUUGUGGAAUGGAAACGGUAUACGUGUGUGGGAUGAGCACAAACAACAGGAAUUUGACCUGCAUGCGUUGCUGUUUGUAACCAUCAAUGAUUGGCCUGCUCUCAGUAACCUUUCAUCACAGACAAACAAGGGAUACCACGCAUGCACGCACUAUUUAGAUGACACCGAAAGUAUAUACCUGGACAAAUGCAGGAAGAAUGUGUACCUGGGGCAUCGUCGAUUUCUUCCGACCAACCAUCAACGUCGAAAGAAAGGCAAGCAUUUCAAAGGAGAGGCAGAUCACCGGAAGAAGCCCGCCAUCCGUACCGGUGAUCACAUACUUGCUAUGGUCAAUGAUUUACAUGUAAUCUUUGGAAAGGGUCCCGACGGACUAUGUGUUCCGAAUGAUGCUGAGGGACGCGCACCCAUGUGGAAGAACAAAUAUAUAUUUUGGGACCUACUGUCGGUGUCAAAACCGGUGGAUCUCGGGUAG